This 216-nucleotide unclassified non-coding RNA is filed under the name Podospora bulbillosa. RNAcentral describes it as "partial internal transcribed spacer region". The stretch from base 1 to 46 matches the Rfam family "Eukaryotic small subunit ribosomal RNA", at positions 1786 to 1831 of the family's 1831-position model. The record is from RNAcentral. Lineage: Eukaryota; Fungi; Ascomycota; Sordariomycetes; Sordariales; Podosporaceae.
AAGUCGUAACAAGGUCUCCGUUGGUGAACCAGCGGAGGGAUCAUUACAGAGUUGCAAAACUCCCCAAACCAUCGUGAACCUUUACCGCUAAACAGUUGCUUCGGCGGGUGGCCCGCCGGAGGAAUCCAAAAAACCAUCGCUUUCAGUACCGGCCUCUCUGAGUUAACUGUACUUUUAAUUAAGUCAAAACUUUCAACAACGGAUCUCUUGGUUCUG